This 873-nucleotide ribosomal RNA is filed under the name Bacillus atrophaeus. Its description in RNAcentral is "bacterial SSU rRNA". It matches the Rfam family "Bacterial small subunit ribosomal RNA", at positions 61 to 914 of the family's 1533-position model. The record is from RNAcentral. Lineage: Bacteria; Bacillati; Bacillota; Bacilli; Caryophanales; Bacillaceae.
GUCGAGCGGACAGAUGGAGAGCUUGCUCCCUGAUGUUAGCGGCGGACGGGUGAGUAACACGUGGGUAACCUGCCUGUAAGACUGGGAUAACUCCGGGAAACCGGGGCUAAUACCGGAUGCUUGUUUGAACCGCAUGGUUCAAACAUAAAAGGUGGCUUCGGCUACCACUUACAGAUGGACCCGCGGCGCAUUAGCUAGUUGGUGAGGUAAUGGCUCACCAAGGCAACGAUGCGUAGCCGACCUGAGAGGGUGAUCGGCCACACUGGGACUGAGACACGGCCCAGACUCCUACGGGAGGCAGCAGUAGGGAAUCUUCCGCAAUGGACGAAAGUCUGACGGAGCAACGCCGCGUGAGUGAUGAAGGUUUUCGGAUCGUAAAGCUCUGUUGUUAGGGAAGAACAAGUGCCGUUCAAAUAGGGCGGCACCUUGACGGUACCUAACCAGAAAGCCACGGCUAACUACGUGCCAGCAGCCGCGGUAAUACGUAGGUGGCAAGCGUUGUCCGGAAUUAUUGGGCGUAAAGGGCUCGCAGGCGGUUUCUUAAGUCUGAUGUGAAAGCCCCCGGCUCAACCGGGGAGGGUCAUUGGAAACUGGGGAACUUGAGUGCAGAAGAGGAGAGUGGAAUUCCACGUGUAGCGGUGAAAUGCGUAGAGAUGUGGAGGAACACCAGUGGCGAAGGCGACUCUCUGGUCUGUAACUGACGCUGAGGAGCGAAAGCGUGGGGAGCGAACAGGAUUAGAUACCCUGGUAGUCCACGCCGUAAACGAUGAGUGCUAAGUGUUAGGGGGUUUCCGCCCCUUAGUGCUGCAGCUAACGCAUUAAGCACUCCGCCUGGGGAGUACGGUCGCAAGACUGAAACUCAAAGGAUUUGAC